UACGAAGGGGGCUAGCGUUGCUCGGAAUCACUGGGCGUAAAGCGCACGUAGGCGGAUCUUUAAGUCAGGGGUGAAAUCCCAAGGCUCAACCUUGGAACUGCCUUUGAUACUGGGGAUCUCGAGUCCGGAAGAGGUGAGCGGAACUGCGAGUGUAGAGGUGAAAUUCGUAGAUAUUCGCAAGAACACCAGUGGCGAAGGCGGACUCACUGGUCCGGUACUGACGCUGAGGUGCGAAAGCGUGGGGAGCAAACAGGG
This 255-nucleotide ribosomal RNA is filed under the name uncultured bacterium. RNAcentral describes it as "partial 16S ribosomal RNA". It matches the Rfam family "Bacterial small subunit ribosomal RNA", at positions 524 to 777 of the family's 1533-position model. The record is from RNAcentral.